CAGCACCUCAAGUGGUCAGGAUGAUUAUUGGGCCUAAAGCAUCCGUAGCCGGCGCUGUAAGUUUUCGGUUAAAUCUGUACGCUCAACGUACAGGCUGCCGGGAAUACUGCAGCGCUAGGGAGUGGGAGAGGUAGACGGUACUCGGUAGGAAGGGGUAAAAUCCUUUGAUCUAUUGAUGACCACCUGUGGCGAAGGCGGUCUACCAGAACACGUCCGACGGUGUGGGAUGAAAGCUGGGGGAGCAAACCGGAUUAGAUACCCGUGUAGUC
This 269-nucleotide ribosomal RNA is filed under the name uncultured archaeon. RNAcentral's name for it is "partial 16S ribosomal RNA". It matches the Rfam family "Archaeal small subunit ribosomal RNA", at positions 477 to 746 of the family's 1478-position model. The record is from RNAcentral.